Drosophila sechellia is the source of this 113-nucleotide long non-coding RNA. RefSeq lists it as uncharacterized. The transcript has 3 exons. Lineage: Eukaryota; Metazoa; Arthropoda; Insecta; Diptera; Drosophilidae. The record is from RefSeq and is a predicted model, not a curated record.
AAUUUUUAAUUAUUACUAUUAAACGUGUUUACAGCGCAGAGGUUUAUUGGUAACUGAAUUCAAAUUAUGUAUACUUGCUGCACACAGGCAGCGUCAAAAUAUGCGAACAAAGA